UAUUUAUUAGAUAAAAAACCAACGCCCUUCGGGGCUCCUUGGKGAAUCAUAAUAACUUAACGAAUCGCACGGCCUUGCGCCGGCGAUGGUUCAUUCAAAUUUCUGCCCUAUCAACUUUCGAUGGUAGGAUGGUGGCCUACCAUGGUGGCAACGGGUAACGGGGAAUUAGGGUUCGAUUCCGGAGAGGGAGCCUGAGAAACGGCUACCACAUCCAAGGAAGGCAGCAGGCGCGCAAAUUACCCAAUCCCGAUACGGGGAGGUAGUGACAAUAAAUACUGAUACGGGGCUCUUUUGGGUCUCGUAAUUGGAAUGAGAACAAUUUAAAUCCCUUAACGAGGAACAAUUGGAGGGCAAGUCUGGUGCCAGCAGCCGCGGUAAUUCCAGCUCCAAUAGCGUAUAUUAAAGUUGUUGCAGUUAAAAAGCUCGUAGUUGAACCUUGGGUCUGGCUGGCCGGUCCGCCUCACCGCGAGUACUGGUCCGGCUGGACCUUUCCUUCUGGGGAACCUCAUGGCCAUCACUGGCUGUGGGGGGAACCAGGACCUUUACUGUGAAAAAAUUAGAGUGUUCAAAGCAGGC
This 576-nucleotide ribosomal RNA is filed under the name uncultured eukaryote. RNAcentral's name for it is "SSU rRNA". It matches the Rfam family "Eukaryotic small subunit ribosomal RNA", at positions 205 to 796 of the family's 1831-position model. The record is from RNAcentral.